This is a transfer RNA of Oryza rufipogon (brownbeard rice), 72 nucleotides long. It matches the Rfam family "tRNA". Rfam says of the family: Transfer RNA (tRNA) molecules are approximately 80 nucleotides in length. NCBI's taxonomy places the organism in Eukaryota, Viridiplantae, Streptophyta, Magnoliopsida, Poales, Poaceae. The record is from Rfam.
UGGAGUAUAGCCAAGCGGUAAGGCAUCGGUUUUUGGUCCCGGCAUGCAAAGGUUCGAAUCCUUUUACUCCAG